Patella vulgata (common limpet) is the source of this 2608-nucleotide long non-coding RNA. RefSeq lists it as uncharacterized. NCBI's taxonomy places the organism in Eukaryota, Metazoa, Mollusca, Gastropoda, Patellidae. The transcript has 8 exons. The record is from RefSeq and is a predicted model, not a curated record.
CUUUUAUUACGACAGUGUUUAGAGAGAUUAAGUCUAAUGAAACGAAACACUGCGGGGAAUAUGGAUUCCAUUUGGGUUCAAGAAUUAACAGUAGUGCCUGGUAAAAUGUCGACCAUGGAUAGAUACAUGUAUAAUUAUAUUAUAGUUAUGUUACUGGCUGUACAUAUUAUAUAUAUGCAAGGUCAAACAUACAGUUUAUCAGGAUCAGCACCAUAUGGUAUUAAAGGUGAAGAUUAUAGAUUUACAUGUCAAAUAUCUGGUGGUGAUUUACGUUCAUCUGUACAGUUUAAGAAGGGUAGUGACUUAGCCUGUACAAUUUCUGGUUGUCAACCAUCAUCACCUAAUACCAGAUAUACAUGUGGUUGUAUCAAUGGUAACAACAGAACACUGUAUCUUAAUAUAACUAAUGUUACAUCAACUGAUACUGGUAACUGGACCUGUGGAGAUAUCUUUUACAUCAGUCCUCCUGUAACUCUAGGAUUCUAUACGACUCGAGAUUGCAAUUUGGCAGGUGGUUUGUCAUUUAUCUGUGAUUUCAUUGUUGGCGUUGGUGCAUCCGCGUUUAUAAUUUAUUUUAUAAAUAUAGGUCUGACUACCAAAAUAAAGAUUGCAGUCUUUGUUACUCAUGCUGUUGCUUCUGGGAUUCUUGGUGGCGGAACAUAUGGAGCGUGCAUUAAUAACGUAUCAGUUGCUGGUAUGGUGUGUAUCAGUAUUGGCUGUAUGUCCACAGUAUGGGCAGUAACAGCCGCUGUUGUUAGACUCGCUUGUAUAUUUUGUUACAAUAAAGUACACGAUGGAUUAGAUAACUCCGAAACGCCAUAGGUGGUGUAACCGAGGAAUAUAUGACACAGCAGACUGCAGAGUUAAAGAAUAAAACUUGGUCUACGAGUACGGCAGUAACUUAUCGUACACAUCUCAAAAUGUUAUUUAAAGUUUUGUCAGCUUUUCGAAAAAUGCGCGGUUCCCGUUGAUUCACGAACUCUCCAGUUAUAUGUAACAUAUUUUGUUAGUUAAGCAUUUCAAGUAUGCCACGGUUCAGCAAUAUCUAAAUAUUCUACCGCAUGUACAUAAGUUAUCUGUUUUUUUCCGAUUAUAUACAAGGCGAUUGUUGUUAAUAGGUGUUAAGAGGGAACUGGGAUUAGCUCAGAUUCCAUUCGAUGUUAUCACACCAGAUAUAUUAUAUAAGAUUUAGUGUGUUUUAAGUUUUGACGAUGUCUCUGAUCACGCUUUCUGGUGCGCAUGCUUAACUGUUAACUGCUUUCUUUGGAUUACUUCUCCCAGGCAAUGUGACUGUGGCAUCUACCUUUGAUCCAAAUAAGGAUUUACGUAGAAAUGAUUUAUUGUUAUGGUCAUGGGACUAUCUCUUAAGUCUGCAAUACACAGAGACUGUGGAGUUUCGAGAAAGAAUACAAUGUAUUACGAUCUAUUUACCUCUAAUAGAUAAUCCCUUAUGUCCUGCAAAAGCUUUCGAUACUUUCCUUGAUAGGACAAACUCAGUCGAUCGCUUAGGUUACCUAUUUAUUGUUGACCAUAGCAGAUGUUUGACUUAUAAAGGAUUUCGGUCAUUUUCUGGAAUACCACAUUCUAAAAUAAAGGGCCAUUCUUUUAGACGAGGUGAUGGAACGUGGCUUAGUAGAAUUGGCAUUCGGAAAGAUACCAUUAAAGGCACCGGUUAUCGGUGAGGCCGUUAAGAGUUAUAUCGAUACGGAUUUCUCCAAUAAAUUACAUAUACUAUGACUACAUUUGGGGAGUCAUUUACAAACCCAUAAUUCUUUAUAGAAUGACCAAUGUCACCAUAUACCUGUUUCCAUAUAUUCUCUCAGUUCUCAUUGACUGGGCUGGGGAAUUUUAUUUGUAUAAAAAACUUGUAAUUUGUAAUUAUUUGUAUUAAGUUCUAAUUUUCAAUGAUAUUGUAUAAUUAUGAUGUUUCUGAUGAAGGUUAUGGAAGCCAUUAAAGAAUUUGCCCAGAUUAUAUUUGCUAUUGUUUCUUCUGCCCGCUUUCACGAAUGAAUGGGGUCAAAUUGUCUAUUUGUUGUCUUCAGGUCUGCAACAAAUUUUAAUGUUUUGUUCUUCGGAAACUCCCGUUAAAAUGUUGCUUCUGAAAAAAAAAUAAUUUACAACCAAAAUAUGUUUGAUUGCUCUUCUCAAAAGCUUUCGAUUCCUUUUUUUUGAAACAAAAACGAUUGUUUACAAGAUACACGAGAAGUUUUAUCAAAAGUACAAAAUAUUAAAAAAUUGCUUUAUUAAAUUAAUGAAUAUUCGUUCGUGUGAAAUUUGUUAAUAAUUUGUGCCUUUUUAACCUUUUAGUGAUCCACCGAAAAGUGGAUCGAGAGUUUUGUUUAAUUUCUUUUUGCGUUGUUUAAUUUCGUAAAUGAUUUAUAAUCAACAUAAAGAGAAGAAUUGAACAAUGAUAUUUUAAGAGGCGUUAGAACUUUGAAGAUCUUGCUGAGUUUGACAGUUACAUUGAGUAUGAUAUUAUACUCUAUUAGUCAGAAUAUUUUCUAAACAAAAAUAUUUUUUUUUACAUUGUUUAGUUAUUGAACAAUUUAAUCAAUAAUUACCCAACAUACUGGAUACUAGAAUAGUGAAACUGUAAAUAAAAGACAAU